GGCGAACGGGUGAGUAACACGUGGGCAAUCUGCCCUGCACUCUGGGACAAGCCCUGGAAACGGGGUCUAAUACCGGAUAUGACCUUCCUCUGCAUGGGGGUUGGUGGAAAGCUCCGGCGGUGCAGGAUGAGCCCGCGGCCUAUCAGCUUGUUGGUGGGGUAAUGGCCUACCAAGGCGACGACGGGUAGCCGGCCUGAGAGGGCGACCGGCCACACUGGGACUGAGACACGGCCCAGACUCCUACGGGAGGCAGCAGUGGGGAAUAUUGCACAAUGGGCGAAAGCCUGAUGCAGCGACGCCGCGUGAGGGAUGACGGCCUUCGGGUUGUAAACCUCUUUCAGCAGGGAAGAAGCGCAAGUGACGGUACCUGCAGAAGAAGCACCGGCUAACUACGUGCCAGCAGCCGCGGUAAUACGUAGGGUGCGAGCGUUGUCCGGAAUUAUUGGGCGUAAAGAGCUCGUAGGCGGCCUGUCGCGUCGGAUGUGAAAGCCCGGGGCUUAACCCCGGGUCUGCAUUCGAUACGGGCAGGCUAGAGUGUGGUAGGGGAGAUCGGAAUUCCUGGUGUAGCGGUGAAAUGCGCAGAUAUCAGGAGGAACACCGGUGGCGAAGGCGGAUCUCUGGGCCAUUACUGACGCUGAGGA
RNAcentral lists this ribosomal RNA (641 nucleotides) under Streptomyces sp. I13A-01627. Its description in RNAcentral is "bacterial SSU rRNA". It matches the Rfam family "Bacterial small subunit ribosomal RNA", at positions 97 to 752 of the family's 1533-position model. The record is from RNAcentral. Lineage: Bacteria; Bacillati; Actinomycetota; Actinomycetes; Kitasatosporales; Streptomycetaceae.